This is a small nuclear RNA of Panthera tigris altaica (Amur tiger), 107 nucleotides long. The record is from Ensembl. NCBI's taxonomy places the organism in Eukaryota, Metazoa, Chordata, Mammalia, Carnivora, Felidae.
GUGCUUUGCUUCGGAAUUACUUACACUGAAAUUGGAAGGAUACAAGGAAGAUUAGCAGGGCCCCUGCACAAAAGUGACAGUAUAACUCAGUGGCAAAAUCACCUAAA